Molecule: long non-coding RNA, 298 nt
Organism: Octopus sinensis (East Asian common octopus)
Lineage: Eukaryota; Metazoa; Mollusca; Cephalopoda; Octopoda; Octopodidae
Exons: 3
Source: RefSeq, a predicted model, not a curated record
GCACAAUGGCCAACGGUUUUCAAAACAUAUUGGGUUGUCCGUAAAGUUCGUGCCGAUUUUUAAAGGAAAGAAAAAGGUCAAUAAAUACUUGCCAUUACAUUUUUAAUCAACUAGAUAUGAACCAUUUUGUUACACAAUGCGUCUCCAUCUUUCCCUUAACUUGAAAAAACCCUCUUCCCAGAAUGGAGGUGGUUUCAUGGCAAAGAAUUCAUCAAGGUAUCUUUUUACGCCAUCCAAGUAACUGAAAUUUUUACCAUUAAGACUACUCUGCAGAGACCCGAAUAAGUGGAAAUCCGAA